RNAcentral lists this ribosomal RNA (414 nucleotides) under uncultured bacterium. RNAcentral describes it as "partial 16S ribosomal RNA". It matches the Rfam family "Bacterial small subunit ribosomal RNA", at positions 355 to 786 of the family's 1533-position model. The record is from RNAcentral.
UGGGGAAUAUUGGACAAUGGGGGCAACCCUGAUCCAGCAAUGCCGCGUGUGUGAAGAAGGUCUUCGGAUUGUAAAGCACUUUCGACGGGGACGAUGAUGACGGUACCCGUAGAAGAAGCCCCGGCUAACUUCGUGCCAGCAGCCGCGGUAAUACGAAGGGGGCUAGCGUUGCUCGGAAUGACUGGGCGUAAAGGGCGUGUAGGCGGUUUACACAGUCAGAUGUGAAAUCCCCGGGCUUAACCUGGGAGCUGCAUUUGAUACGUGUAGACUAGAGUGUGAGAGAGGGUUGUGGAAUUCCCAGUGUAGAGGUGAAAUUCGUAGAUAUUGGGAAGAACACCGGUGGCGAGGGCGGCAACCUGGCUCAUGACUGACGCUGAGGCGCGAAAGCGUGGGGAGCAAACAGGAUUAGAUACC